GCUCCCAGGAAAGGAAGGCGAGCCCCAGGUUUAACGAAGAGGGGAAUGGCGAGCUGAACAGAGACCCUGUGCCAUGUGGCGGUCGCCCCGGCCCCAUCCCGCCCGGCCCCGAGCAGCCGCUGGUCUGUUGGUGUCUCUGUCUGGACCUUUCACCCGGGUGGGGCCGUGGAGGGUGUGCUCUUCGCGUUCGACUCCUCGGACUUCGCAUGAUGUCCCGCAGGUUCAUCCAGCAUAUUCACAGAGUUGUGGGACCAUCACUACACAUGUCAGGACAUUUCCAUCACCCCAGAAAGUAACCCCAUACUUACUGUCAGUCAUUCAGGAGUGGGCUUUGGUGGACACUGACCUCUUUGCCAGGACCAAGAUAGACCCCAGCGCCUUGGUGCAGAAGCUGGACCUGGACACAAGGGGUGUCCCUUCCUCUAGGAGAGGUGCAGAGGCGAAGGCUGUUUUGCCCAAGAAGGAGAAACGGAAGCUGAGACGCGAGAGGUGGCUGCAGAAAAUCGAAGCCAUAAAGCUGGCCGAGCAGAAGCGCCAGGCAGAGCGGAGGCGGCGGGCCACCGUGGUGGUGGGGGACCUGCAGCCCCUGUGGGACGCCCUCCCUGAGCUGCUGGAGCUGGAGGCCGGCACCCGGCGGCCACAUGCCAGAAGCAGGCCGAGCAGCAGGCCCCGGCCGGCCGAGCUGAGCCGGAUGAGCGCAGCACAGCGGCUCCAGCUCCUCGAGGAAGAAAGGACCCGCUUUCGGGAGCUGCUGGCCAGCCCGGCCUACAGAGCCAGCCCCCUGCUGGCCAUCGGGCAGCAGCUGGCCCAGCGGGUGCAGCCGGGUGGCGGUGGCCUGCUCUGAGCUGGCCCGGACGUGUCGUGAGCGCCGAGGACGCACGGGGUGCCAGAGGGCCGGCUGCUGGCCGUUGUCCCCGAGCCUGGACUCUUCACUUGCUGGCUGGCGGGUGGGACGGAGCCCCGUGAGGGACAGGGACAGACGCCGUGUCUGCACAUGGACACAUCACAGGAACUGGGGAGGGACACAUGGGGCCAUGGAGGCUGCAGGUAGGAGCCCGGUCCCCAUGGCCAGAGGUCAGCACGGCGGUCCAGCCGGCACAGCCAGCCCCUGCGUGAUGCAGGCCGUCAUCCUCAGCACAUAAGAGAGAAGCCGUUUACAAAGACGUGUUUGUGACAAGCCAUUUCUGCAGCAAGACCAGCACAGGGAGAGGUGGCGGGAUGUCCCCGGGCGUGGUACUGGCCACCGGCAGCCUCCUCAGGCCCUUCUGUAGUAGCCGAGUUGCUGGUACUGGCUGCAUGUUGACUGUGUGUUUUAAGAGAAAAACUGCUUCAGGUUCUCCAGUGACUCCAGUCUGACCGUGGCCGGGCGUGCCUCGGCCCCUCGUCUCGUGGUCACUCCGUCGGGGCUGUCACCUCUGCCCAGGAGCCAGGACCUUCCCCUCGGGGCCUGUGGUCACCACGCACUGCGUUGUAGAGGGUGGCCCUGUGGGAGGAGGAGAGAUGGGGAGGCCAUGGAAGGAAGAAGGACCGAUGGGCCUCGUCACGAGGAGACACCCCACUGACAGGGACCUCAGAACCAGCCCCAAGAAAAUGGCCUGAGAAGCUGCAAACAUGGGGAUGUCAUCCCAGAGCUGAGAACCUGGGCCCAGUGGUGGCUGCUGCUCAGACAGCUGGGGUUCCUCUAGGUGCAUGUGGGGCUGAGACAGGCAGCACGUCCCAGAGCCGUCCCCCGGAGUUACAGGAUGUCCUCCGGUGAGGCCACAGCCCACAGGCCCGUCGGAGACGCCAUGUGAGUGGGAGGGAAACGACGGGUGCCUCCACCCUGGCGUGUGUGCUGUCUCACCUCUGACCUGAGCUCGGGUCUGGACCGGAAGUUACGCUCUAACCCUGGGGCCCUCAGUGGGUUGACCACAGGCACACAGCACAGGAAGGCCUCUCGGGCCUGGUCGGAGGCUCGGCGCUCCGCACACUGGUCCUUGUCCCUGAGCAGGACGGGGCUGCCUGCUCUGCCCUCAGGCUCACCUCCGAAGGUUUCCUGGUGGGGAGGCCAAGGGACCGUGACCUCCCCAACACUCCCCCGCCCCCCCACCAAACUUCCUGAAGACCCCUGCAUGGCGCAGCGGCCCACCUGGAUCUGCCUUUCCCUGAGCAGCCCCCUGCCCCGCUUGGGGCCCUGGUUGCUGCGUCCACAGUCACCUCUCCUGGUGGCAUGUGUAUCGUUACCAGUGGCCAUGACACUGCUGCAUAACAAACACCCCACACGCUUAUGGCCGGGCAGCCCCCCAGGCUUAGGCCAGGCCCAUGGGCUUGGCUGCCUGUCCCACUGACUGUUUCCUGGGUAACAUCACAGGCGGGGUGACUAAGAACAAAGGAAUCUGAGACCAGUGUUGGCGGCCGCUCCCUCCAGAGCUCCAGGCCGGCCUCAGCUUCUGUGGUUUGCCGGGAACCCAGGCAUCCCUUGGCCUGUGCCUGCACCACUCCUGUCCCUGCCUCCAUCGUCACGUAAGGACACCAGUUGUUGGAUUUGGGCCACCCUCCUCCAGUCUUAACUAAUUCUAUCUGCAAAGACCCGUUUCCAAGGACGGUCACACCCUGAGGCCCCAGGUUCCUGGGGACUUUGGAGACGCACUCUGUCUGGGUGGGCUGGCACCGGGAGUUUUAGACGCUUCCAGGUGAGGAAGGCGUGUCUAGUCGACCAGCACUGAGAAGCGGGUGGGGACAUGAGAGCCCAGUGCCAGGCAGAGUGACGGCUGGUCUGUGGCCGAGCAGGGUGUCGGGAGCAGGAGGCUGACAGCCGGCAGAGGGGUGGACACAGGGCUUGGGGAGGGGGCGUCGGGGCUGGAGCUGUGGGUGGUGGGGGCUCCCGUGAUGUCACUCCCCAGACCUUGGGCCCUUCAGCGGAGCCUGCUGCCAGCGCCCUGUGCUCUGCGUGCGUCCCCAGGCCCCAGCAGGUCUGCACGUGGCCUGCGCUGCGUCCCUGGUUCCCAUUCCUUCUGCUCCUUCCUUUCCCGCGAGGGUGGCUUCGUGCCGCUCUGUCCUGUCGGCUGUACCAGGACUUGGCCAACAGGUAGUGGGGUGAACGAUUGACGUGAGCGGCCCAGGGCAGGCAGGGCCGGGGAGGGCCAGCCUCGUGGGCGCACGAUGUGCAGGGCAGAAGCCCCAGCAAACCCCUCACUGGUCCCAGGCUGCAGCCCCCCUGAAGGUGGGGUUCAGGGCAGAGUUAGGGGAGCAGGGGCCCUGGGGUCCUCUGCAAGGGCCGCAGUCACUGGCUACCAGAGGCGAAGCCCUGGCUGGUGUGGGUCCUGCCCUCAGGUGACUAGGCGAGGAGUGAUGGCUUUGUCCCCCGGAGCUUCUGCUGCAUCAGGGUUGCACCCACCCAGGCCCUGAGGUCACCACGCCCCACCCUCCCUGGGACUCAGACCCCAUUUGUGCGGAGCGCUGAGUAUCACAAGGUUUGUCUUGGACAGAGAGGGUGGGCAGUGGCCAGGCAGCGCCAGCCAGGGGCGCCUCGCAGGGUCCUGUGCCGCUUGAAGCCAGGUGCUGUCAGGUGCGGGGUUCCCCGACUAUACGUCGUUAUGUAGCCAACAGCGUGUGCUUCUAGAAUGUUCCUCAUGCAGGCAGCCUGGGCUGAGGCCAUUGUGCUGAGAUGUGGGGGCCCAGCCCCUCCACGUCUCCAUGGUUCUUAGUGGCCAUGACCAGUUUUCCAGGGUGCUUGCUUCCAGGAUGUGGGACAGCCGGGGUGGGGGUGGGGCACAGUCCUGGAUCUGCGAUCACAGGUCUGUGUGAGGAAAGAACUUAUUUUCAAGUAAGAGUCUCAACUGCGUUUUUCUUCUAAAGAUGUUUAAAGAACGUAUGUGAAAAUGAUAAUUAACGUCUUCCUUAAGACUGGAGAAAUCGGCCGGCCAGGUGGCACAGUUGGCUAGAGACGAGCUCUGAGCAACAGGGUUGCCGGUUCGAUUCCCACAUGGGCCA
Molecule: RNA transcript, 3972 nt
Organism: Hipposideros armiger (great roundleaf bat)
Lineage: Eukaryota; Metazoa; Chordata; Mammalia; Chiroptera; Hipposideridae
Gene: SLX9
Gene name: SLX9 ribosome biogenesis factor
Exons: 8
Source: RefSeq, a predicted model, not a curated record